UAAACGUAACGCUAAGGUCUAAUAUUUUACUAUAUUGUUUUUCGUUUAAUUUGGAAUGUACGUUUUCUGCAUUAUAACCGUUAUCGAAAAGCUUUUUUAAUAGCACAAUAUUACAAAAGUUAAAAAUAUUAUCGUGCAAAUAUUUCUUCGAAUAAUAUAUCGCGAGGUUUUGCAGGCAGAUAAAAAACUUGGUUAUAUAUUCUUUUUUUUAUUUUUGAUUUUUUUUCCGAAGAAAAAAGAGAAGGAACAGAUACGGAGAAACCAGCAGAUUUUACCAAAGCCCCAGACGGGUUUUUGGACAAUUUAAAUUCCAAAUUGGGAAUAUGUUAGCCAGGUGGAUAUUUCGGCCUUGCUAUAUAAACUCUAAUAAAACAACGUUUUUCAAUAUUCCUAUUUGAUUUUUCUCGAUCUUCGAUUUUUAAUAGUUUAGCCUGGUUAUUUACAAACAAAAAAUAUUAUUUAUUAAUUUGAAACCAGGUAUUUAAUACUGCCCUUUUUUAAAUAAAAAUAUCCAAUUACUAUGGGAAACACUUUUCGGUCCGUCAAACUAGCAGUUCGUUCGAAAAUUGUAACAAAUAUAUACAAAUUAGAAAAUAACGUGGCCACACCAUUGUUUUUUACUUUGCUUUUCGAAAAGACGAUUAAAAACGUCGGUCGGGCCUAUUGUUUGUUUUACAAAACGAGCGGUAAAAUUCAGUUAGAAAAGCUGCGUCCAAAUUCUAAAUUUAACCAUAUAAUCGCCAAUUUAAAAUUGCUUACUAUUGUAAGAAAGGAAUUCGAUAAUAUAUAUAGCGGGAGGGGUAAAAUUUAUUAAAAUAACAGAGCAUCGUUUGAAAUAUUUAUGGAAUAUCGGUAGAUGGCAGGCUCGAAAUAAUAUUUGUAGGCGUUUUAUAAUAUUACCUGAUAUUGUAAUUAGUUUUCCUAAAGCGCAAAGGUAUUCGCUCCGCCGGAAGCGAUAUUUAAAAAUAAAAAUGGGACAAGUCCGUAGCUUGGAACCGCUUAGGAAAUGUCAUAUAAAUAAGGAAAUAUACUAACAAUAACGCAAAGGUACGGUGCUAUCCAAAAAAUAUAAUUUAAAUGGUGUUAAAGGUUAAAAAGGAAAACAAUGGUCCAAUAAUAAAAAGCAGCAAUGCUAUAACGCAAUAAUAUUCCAAAACACACGCUCCACCUUUGUAUUUUCGUUUUUUACCAAAGUUGGUUUACGUAUCGGAAUUAUACGAUUGGGAGGCGUACCCCCAUAUUUUUGUAUAUAUUUUAUACCCGGCUUACCAUUCCUAAACUUGGACAUAAUCGUCGACAAAUCCUAAAUUAACAGCCGAUCGUUAUCCCUAAUUCCACCUAUCUUAUUUUCACCGAUUCGAACAGGUACGUCCUUAUUAUAAUAUAAAACAGCGGUCUCUGGUUUAUCCUUGGAUUUGCCUGUUAAAUGAAAUAGUUUUUGAAACUUUUUCAAUUUCAGCUUUUCCAUAUUAUAACGCUCCAAAACGAUUGUUAUUUUGGUGCCUUCGAUGUUAAUUUCGUGCGAUUCCUUAUUAUAUUUAUAUGGUUUAAACGAAUGGCAAAUAUCCGGGGCAAAUUAAAUAUCGCCGCCCCAAUCGUUUGCGGUAAAUAAGAGAUAUAUUCGCUCGUCGCUACCUUUGUAAAGUUUGAAAAUAUCGUAACUUAUUAGAACCGGGAUAGGUGGCGAAAUAUAUAUAUACGUUUGGUUUAUUACCGUAUUAAGCCAUUUAUCGUCUUUAAAAAUUUUGUUCCAAACUUGCAUUGCUUUUUCUUGUUUUGGGUAAAGAUUCGCAUUAAUCCCAACCUGUGCCAAUCCUUUUUUUAAAUAAAUGCGAGAUAUAGGAGGUAAAUAUUUUGUAAUUGUGUCGAAAAUUUCUUGUGGUAAAUUCCCGAAAACUGCAAGUUUCUUCUGUUCAAAUAUGGGAUCUAAUACAAAAUAAACUACCCGGCGUAUCGUGCCUGCAAACAAGUAUUAAAUAGCGCAGCGAGGGUUUUUUUAUAAACUAUUACUAUUGCACCCUAUUUAUUA
Molecule: small RNA, 2029 nt
Filed under: Pyricularia oryzae
Lineage: Eukaryota; Fungi; Ascomycota; Sordariomycetes; Magnaporthales; Pyriculariaceae
Description: Magnaporthe oryzae sRNA M_BR32_EuGene_00146831
Source: RNAcentral